GCUGACGACCGGCGCACGGGUGAGUAACGCGUAUGCAACCUGCCUAUAACUGGGGAAUAGCUCCCUGAAAGGGGAAUUAACACCGCAUAACACUAUUGAUUCGCAUGGAUUGGUAGUUAAAUGUAGCGAUACAGGUUAUAGAUGGGCAUGCGUGACAUUAGCUAGUUGGUGAGGUAACGGCUCACCAAGGCUACGAUGUCUAGGGGUUCUGAGAGGAAGGUCCCCCACACUGGUACUGAGACACGGACCAGACUCCUACGGGAGGCAGCAGUGAGGAAUAUUGGUCAAUGGGCGCAAGCCUGAACCAGCCAUGUCGCGUGCAGGAAGACUGCCCUAUGGGUUGUAAACUGCUUUUAUAGUAGAAGAAACACAUCUACGUGUAGAUGUCUGCCAGUAUACUAUGAAUAAGCAUCGGCUAACUCCGUGCCAGCCGCUGC
Molecule: ribosomal RNA, 437 nt
Filed under: uncultured bacterium
Lineage: Bacteria
Description: bacterial SSU rRNA
Rfam family: Bacterial small subunit ribosomal RNA
Source: RNAcentral